GGCCGUGCGCAGUUUCGGCUCGGCCAAGGCGCGCUACGACUUCAGCGCUCGGGACCGGACGGAGCUGUCGCUGCGCGAGGGGGACGUGAUCCGAGUGCUCAGCAAGAAGGGACACCCGGGCUGGUGGAAAGGGGAGAUCUACGGCCGGGUCGGCUGGUUCCCGGCGAACUACGUGGAGGAGGAUUAUUCAGAUUAUUGCUGAGCACGGACCCCCCCCCCCUCAAACCACCCCCCUCCCGCGUCCUCCCCUCGCCCCGGAGCCCCCCCAAAUCCCCUCCCCCGGGUAAUCGGGGCCCCUUCCUGCCCCGGAGGGACAAUAAAGGAAGAGGAGGAGGAUGA
Molecule: long non-coding RNA, 339 nt
Organism: Neopelma chrysocephalum (saffron-crested tyrant-manakin)
Lineage: Eukaryota; Metazoa; Chordata; Aves; Passeriformes; Pipridae
Exons: 2
Source: RefSeq, a predicted model, not a curated record